Molecule: ribosomal RNA, 827 nt
Filed under: Rhabditella sp. Halandri_Petros_bitter_orange
Lineage: Eukaryota; Metazoa; Nematoda; Chromadorea; Rhabditida; Rhabditidae
Description: SSU rRNA
Rfam family: Eukaryotic small subunit ribosomal RNA
Source: RNAcentral
AACUGCGAACGGCUCAUUAGAGCAGAUUUUACCUAUUCCGAAAUCUUAUUUGGAUAACUGCGGUAAUUCUGGAGCUAAUACAUGCAAUAAAGCCCAUCCUUACGGGUGGGUGCAGAUAUUAGUACAAACCAAUCGUCUCUGACGAAGUUUGUUGACUCUGAAUAUCGUAGCUAAUCGACGGUUUACCUGUCGAUGAUCGGAGAAGGAGUCUGCCCUAUCAACCAGAUGGUAGUCUAUUAGUCUACCAUGGUGAUCACGGGUAACGGAGAAUCAGGGUUCGACUCCGGAGAGGGAGCCUUAGAAACGGCUACCACAUCCAAGGAAGGCAGCAGGCGCGUAACUUAUCCACUACCUUAGUGAGAUAGUGACUAAAAAUAAAGAGACCAAUCCUUUGGAUUGGUUAUUUCAAUGAGUUGAGUCUAAAUAGCUCUUCGAGGACCCAGUGGAGGGCAAGUCUGGUGCCAGCAGCCGCGGUAAUUCCAGCUCCACUAGUAUAAAUCGUCAUUGCUGCGGUUAAAAAGCUCGUAGUUGGAUUUGAGGCACGUACAGCGGUUCGGCUCUGCCGUUAAUCACUGUUGUGUCUAAUUUGUUGGUUUUCUGUUGGUAACUUCGGUUCCUUCAGUGGCUAGCAAGUUUACCUUGAUCAAAUCAAAGCGCUCAAAGCAGGCGAUUGCUUGCAUUUGGGAUCAUGGAAUAAUAAAAUAGGAUUUCGAUUCUAUUUAUUGGUUUAGAAUUGAAUUAAUGAUUAAGAGAGACAAUUCGGGGGCAUUCGUAUCCCUGCGCGAGAGGUGAAAUUCGUGGACCGCAGGGGGACGUCCAAAAGCGAA